This 490-nucleotide ribosomal RNA is filed under the name uncultured bacterium. RNAcentral describes it as "partial 16S ribosomal RNA". It matches the Rfam family "Bacterial small subunit ribosomal RNA", at positions 30 to 507 of the family's 1533-position model. The record is from RNAcentral.
AUUGAACGCUGGCGGCAGGCCUAACGCAUGCAAGUCGAACGGUAACAGGAAGCAGCUUGCUGCUUUGCUGACGAGUGGCGGACGGGUGAGUAAUGUCUGGGAAACUGCCUGAUGGAGGGGGAUAACUACUGGAAACGGUAGCUAAUACCGCAUAACGUCGCAAGACCAAAGAGGGGGACCUUAGGGCCUCUUGCCAUCGGAUGUGCCCAGAUGGGAUUAGCUAGUAGGUGGGGUAACGGCUCACCUAGGCGACGAUCCCUAGCUGGUCUGAGAGGAUGACCAGCCACACUGGAACUGAGACACGGUCCAGACUCCUACGGGAGGCAGCAGUGGGGAAUAUUGCACAAUGGGCGCAAGCCUGAUGCAGCCAUGCCGCGUGUAUGAAGAAGGCCUUCGGGUUGUAAAGUACUUUCAGCGGGGAGGAAGGGAGUAAAGUUAAUACCUUUGCUCAUUGACGUUACCCGCAGAAGAAGCACCGGUUAACUCCGUG